GACGAACGCUGGCGGCGUGCUUAACACAUGCAAGUCGAACGGUAAGGCUCCAGCUUGCUGGGGUACACGAGUGGCGAACGGGUGAGUAACACGUGGGUGACCUGCCCUGCACUUCGGGAUAAGCCUGGGAAACUGGGUCUAAUACCGGAUAGGACCGCACCGUGAGGGUGUGGUGGAAAGUUUUUUCGGUGUGGGAUGGGCCCGCGGCCUAUCAGCUUGUUGGUGGGGUAAUGGCCUACCAAGGCGGCGACGGGUAGCCGGCCUGAGAGGGUGGACGGCCACAUUGGGACUGAGACACGGCCCAGACUCCUACGGGAGGCAGCAGUGGGGAAUAUUGCACAAUGGGCGGAAGCCUGAUGCAGCGACGCCGCGUGGGGGAUGACGGCCUUCGGGUUGUAAACUCCUUUCACCAUCGACGAAGGGUUUCUGACGGUAGAUGGAGAAGAAGCACCGGCUAACUACGUGCCAGCAGCCGCGGUAAUACGUAGGGUGCGAGCGUUGUCCGGAAUUACUGGGCGUAAAGAGCUCGUAGGUGGUUUGUCGCGUCGUCUGUGAAAUUCCGGGGCUUAACUCCGGGCGUGCAGGCGAUACGGGCAUAACUUGAGUACUGUAGGGGAGACUGGAAUUCCUGGUGUAGCGGUGAAAUGCGCAGAUAUCAGGAGGAACACCGGUGGCGAAGGCGGGUCUCUGGGCAGUAACUGACGCUGAGGAGCGAAAGCAUGGGGAGCGAACAGGAUUAGAUACCCUGGUAGUCCAUGCCGUAAACGGUGGGCGCUAGGUGUGGGUUUCCUUCCACGGGAUCCGUGCCGUAGCUAACGCAUUAAGCGCCCCGCCUGGGGAGUACGGCCGCAAGGCUAAAACUCAAAGGAAUUGACGGGGGCCCGCACAAGCGGCGGAGCAUGUGGAUUAAUUCGAUGCAACGCGAAGAACCUUACCUGGGCUUGACAUAUACAGGAUCGCGCCAGAGAUGGUGUUUCCCUUGUGGCUUGUAUACAGGUGGUGCAUGGUUGUCGUCAGCUCGUGUCGUGAGAUGUUGGGUUAAGUCCCGCAACGAGCGCAACCCUUGUCUUAUGUUGCCAGCACGUUGUGGUGGAGACUCGUAAGAAACUGCCGGGGUUAACUCGGAGGGAGGUGGGGAUGACGUCAAAUCAUCAUGCCCCUUAUGUCCAGGGCUUCACACAUGCUACAAUGGUCGGUACAGUGGGUUGCCAGUCCGUGAGGGCGAGCUAAUCCCGCAAAGCCGGUCUCAGUUCGGAUCGGGGUCUGCAACUCGACCCCGUGAAGUCGGAGUCGCUAGUAAUCGCAGAUCAGCAACGCUGCGGUGAAUACGUUCCCGGGCCU
Molecule: ribosomal RNA, 1341 nt
Filed under: uncultured bacterium
Lineage: Bacteria
Description: 16S ribosomal RNA
Rfam family: Bacterial small subunit ribosomal RNA
Source: RNAcentral